This 207-nucleotide non-coding RNA is filed under the name Carnobacterium iners. RNAcentral describes it as "T-box sequence". It matches the Rfam family "T-box leader". From Rfam's summary of the family: Uncharged tRNA acts as the effector for transcription antitermination of genes in the T-box leader family. T-boxes are found upstream of many aminoacyl-tRNA synthetase genes and some amino acid biosynthetic genes usually in Gram-positive bacteria. Lineage: Bacteria; Bacillati; Bacillota; Bacilli; Lactobacillales; Carnobacteriaceae. The record is from RNAcentral.
AAAUACCCGUUGAGAGAAAUAGUAAGUUUAAUAAUGUGCAAACAGAAAGGACCAUCUUGGCUGAAAAUGGUUCCCAUUAUAAAUCUGAAUGACAUUCUUGAGGGUUAAUGGUGAAAAGCUAUUACGUUGCGAGCGUUAAUCGUUGAGGAGAGCUUUGCUCUCGAAAAAAGGUGGUACCACGAGAAAUAAAUUAAACUCGUCCUUAUU